CGCGAAGAGUCCUACCAGCUCUUGACAUUCGGGGUAUGGGCAUUGGAGACGAUGUCCUUCAGUUAGGCUGGCCCCAGAACAGGUGCUGCAUGGCUGUCGUCAGCUCGUGUCGUGAGAUGUUGGGUUAAGUCCCGCAACGAGCGCAACCCUCGCCCUUAGUUGCCAGCAUUGAGUUGGGCACUCUAAGGGGACUGCCGGUGAUAAGCCGAGAGGAAGGUGGGGAUGACGUCAAGUCCUCAUGGCCCUUACGGGCUGGGCUACACACGUGCUACAAUGGUGGUGACAGUGGGCAGCGAGACAGCGAUGUCGAGCUAAUCUCCAAAAGCCAUCUCAGUUCGGAUUGCACUCUGCAACUCGAGUGCAUGAAGUUGGAAUCGCGUAGUAAUCGCAGAUCAGCAUGCUGCGGGAAUAC
Molecule: ribosomal RNA, 412 nt
Filed under: Agrobacterium sp. Ma38
Lineage: Bacteria; Pseudomonadati; Pseudomonadota; Alphaproteobacteria; Hyphomicrobiales; Rhizobiaceae
Description: bacterial SSU rRNA
Rfam family: Bacterial small subunit ribosomal RNA
Source: RNAcentral